Molecule: small nuclear RNA, 306 nt
Filed under: Castor canadensis (American beaver)
Lineage: Eukaryota; Metazoa; Chordata; Mammalia; Rodentia; Castoridae
Description: 7SK RNA (ENSCCNG00000004653.1)
Rfam family: 7SK RNA
About the family: 7SK was discovered as an abundant small nuclear RNA in the mid-70s but a possible function has only recently been suggested. Two independent studies have found that 7SK RNA binds the CDK9/cyclin T complex (known as elongation factor P-TEFb).
Source: Rfam by way of RNAcentral
AGAUGUGAGGGUAAUCUGGCAGUUGCAUCUACCACCCCAUAGAUCUCUGAGGUUGAUUUCCUGGUCUAGAGGGGCAGGUGUGUAUCCUAUCCUCACAUAACUCCAUGUGUGUUCCUUCUAAAGCUGCAUGCUAGAUCAAAAGUAUGAUCAUCUCUGACAGAGGAGGAAGAUUCUUCAGUCAAAGGUACACGAAUAACUCUGCUCCCCUGCUUUAACUGGCAACCAAGCUCUCAAGGUCAUCGUUUGUAAAAACAACAAAUUGUACACUCUGCAAUCAUAAAUUAGCACUUUUUAUGUGGAAACAAU